Molecule: unclassified non-coding RNA, 306 nt
Filed under: uncultured Sordariales
Lineage: Eukaryota; Fungi; Ascomycota; Sordariomycetes; Sordariales
Description: sequence contains ITS1
Rfam family: 5.8S ribosomal RNA (bases 1-105)
Source: RNAcentral
GAAAUGCGAUAAGUAAUGUGAAUUGCAGAAUUCAGUGAAUCAUCGAAUCUUUGAACGCACAUUGCGCCCGCCAGUAUUCUGGCGGGCAUGCCUGUUCGAGCGUCAUUUCAACCAUCAAGCCCCCGUCGGCUUGUGUUGGGGCCCUGCGGCUGCCCGCAGGCCCUGAAAAUCAGUGGCGGGCUCGCUAGCAACACCGAGCGCAGUAGCAUACACCUCGCUCAGGUCGUGCGGCGGGUUCCGGCCGUUAAAGCCCCCCUCAUACCAAAGGUUGACCUCGGAUCAGGUAGGAAUACCCGCUGAACUUAA